Molecule: long non-coding RNA, 509 nt
Organism: Tupaia belangeri chinensis (Chinese tree shrew)
Lineage: Eukaryota; Metazoa; Chordata; Mammalia; Scandentia; Tupaiidae
Exons: 5
Source: RefSeq, a predicted model, not a curated record
AUGCUCUCUUUCCUAAUGGGAACUCAGAGGAGAGGACAACGCUGAACCCAAUUGUGGGCUUUUUGAGUUCUCUCCUGCUGGUGCCUGAACCAGGAGAAGGAAAGCAGAGAAGGUCUUUUAUCUCUGGGCUGUUCACCUUUGGCUCAGUGCCCUACUGCUUGUGCACAGGAAAGAGAAAAGAACUAGCAGAUACCUAAAACUUACCGUCAGGAGCUCUGAAGAAGAGAAUGUCAGCGUCAGAAUCCCAAUCACAUUUAACUUGGCAUGAAGGAAAUCUUAUGGAGGCAUCACCACUGAUACUCCUGUUUGCCUAUGUGUACAGAAAGUUGGCCAGUUUGCGAAGCAAGAGAGAGGGUAAGAGGAUGGUUUUGGACCACAGCAGCAAGAAACUCAUCACAACCACAAAUGAAUCAGAAUCGCGAUCCUGCUGCUGCUUUGCUUUCUGUGCUGUGUGGAAGUAUGAGCUCUCCUCACCGACCACUGUGAGGAGCAGAAAGCAAACAGUCUCU